CUUGCCCUAAUUCUCUACAAAAAAAACUCAUCCGACGGAAUUGAUUUAUGGCAACGGAGAUUUCAAUGAGUCGGGUUUCGAGGACUUCAUCCGAGGCGCUGCAGCCUCAAUUCCGGUCAUUGCCAUCGUCGGCCCGCAGUCCAGUGGAAAAAGUACUUUGUUGAAUCAUCUAUUCCUUACAAACUUUAGGGAAAUGAAUGCAGAAACUGGAAGGAGCAAGACAACGAAUGGGAUAUGGAUAGCAAAAGCCCCUCAUAUUGAGCCCUUAACUAUCGGGGAAAAUCGGGUUUAUGGGGGAGUUUACACUAAAUAUUACGUAAAUGUACCCAUUUUGUUAUCUAUUCCACAAAUGGGAAAAACGCCAACCACAUUGGCGUUUUUAUUAGUAAAUACGCCAACGU
Salvia splendens (bonfire salvia) is the source of this 401-nucleotide long non-coding RNA. RefSeq lists it as uncharacterized. NCBI's taxonomy places the organism in Eukaryota, Viridiplantae, Streptophyta, Magnoliopsida, Lamiales, Lamiaceae. The record is from RefSeq and is a predicted model, not a curated record. The transcript has 3 exons.